AAUUGGCUCCCCUUUCGCUGCGAUAACCAAGAGCAGCGGGGUGGAAAUGCAGCCACUUCCCGGCUCCUGUUCUAAUGAGAUCAGUGCGCGCCCCUGGGAAAGGGCUGUGCCCUCACUGUUUGCCCACAUCCCACCGAAAUCCCACGGGAUCGAUGGGGGUCGGCCGGGUGCACCGCCCCGAGGCCAUGGGAUCGAUGAGGAGUGAAGGAAAUGCGGCCGAAGAUGCGCGGUUUUACAGCUUCCUCCCCAAGAACGGCCGUGCUUUA
This 266-nucleotide long non-coding RNA is filed under the name Gallus gallus (chicken). Lineage: Eukaryota; Metazoa; Chordata; Aves; Galliformes; Phasianidae. The record is from RNAcentral.